Molecule: ribosomal RNA, 246 nt
Filed under: uncultured bacterium
Lineage: Bacteria
Description: partial 16S ribosomal RNA
Rfam family: Bacterial small subunit ribosomal RNA
Source: RNAcentral
GACAGAGGGUGCAAACGUUGUUCGGAAUUACUGGGCGUAAAGCGCGUGUAGGCGGCCCUGCAAGUCGGAUGUGAAAUCCCACGGCUCAACCGUGGAAGUGCAUUCGAAACUGCAGGGCUAGAGUCCUGGAGAGGAAGGUGGAAUGCUUGGUGUAGAGGUGAAAUUCGUAGAUAUCAAGCGGAACACCGGUGGCGAAGGCGGCCUUCUGGACAGUGACUGGACGCUGAGGCGCGAAAAGCCCAGGGG